AUUGAACGCUGGCGGCAGGCCUAAUACAUGCAAGUCGAACGAGUGGCGGACGGGUGAGUAAUGUCUGGGAAAAUGCCUGAUGGACGGGGCUAACUUCUGGAACCUGUAGCUAAUACCGCAUAACAUCCUCUGUGCCAAGAGGUGAUUAGCUAGUUGGUGGGGUAACGGCCCUCCAAGGCGACGAUCCCUAGCUGGUCUGAGAGGAUGACCAGCCACACGGGAACUGAGACACGGCCCAGACUCCUACGUGAGGCAGCAGUGGGGAAUAUUGCACAAUGGGCGCAAGCCUGAUGCAGCCAUGCCGCGUGUAUGAAGAAGGCCUUCGGGUUGUAAAGUACUUUCAGCGGUGAGGCGUUACCCGCAGAAGAAGCACCGGCUAACUCCGUGCCAGCAGCCGCGGUAAUAC
This 406-nucleotide ribosomal RNA is filed under the name uncultured bacterium. RNAcentral describes it as "partial 16S ribosomal RNA". It matches the Rfam family "Bacterial small subunit ribosomal RNA", at positions 30 to 526 of the family's 1533-position model. The record is from RNAcentral.